This 1122-nucleotide long non-coding RNA is filed under the name Lathyrus oleraceus (garden pea). Its description in RNAcentral is "Pisum sativum (pea) long non-coding RNA (PSAT_LNC039439)". Lineage: Eukaryota; Viridiplantae; Streptophyta; Magnoliopsida; Fabales; Fabaceae. The record is from RNAcentral.
UGUGAAUAAUGAAAAUGUUGUUGUUGUUGAACCCAUGAAAUUUGAUUGAAUUGUAUGAAUGAUGAAAAUGUUGUUGUUGUUAAACCCAUGAAAUUUGAUUGAAUUAUGUGAAUAAUGAAAAUGUUGUUGUUGUUAAACACAUGAAAUUUAAUUGAAUUGUGUGAGUGAUGAAAAUGUUGUUAAAACCAUGAAAUUUGAUUGAAUUUUGCGAAUGAUGAAAAUGUUUUUUUAAACCGAUAGAGUUUGAUUGAAUUAUGUGAAUGAUAAAAAUGUUGAUGUUAAACCCAUGAAAUUUGAUUGAAUUAUGGGAAUGAUGAAAAUGUUCUAUUAAACCCAUGAAAUUUGAUUGAGUUGUGUGAAUAAUGAAAAUGUUGUUGUUAAACCCAUGAAAUUUUAUUGAAUUGUGGGAAUAAUGAAAAUGCUGUUGUUAAUCCCAUGAAAUUUGAUUGAAUUAAGUGAAUGAUGAAAAUGUUGCUGUUAAACCCAAGAAAUUUGAUUGAAUUAUGUGAAUAAUGAUAAUGUUGUUAUCAUUAAACCCAUGAAAUAUGAUUGAAUUGUCUGAAUGAUGAAAAUGUAGUUGUUAAACCCAUGAAAUUUGAUUGAAUUAUGGGAAUGAUGAAAAUGUUCUAUUAAACCCAUGAAAUUUGAUUGAGUUGUGUGAAUAAUGAAAAUGUUGUUGUUAAACACAUGAAAUUUGAUUGAAUUGUUGGAAUAAUGAAAAUGUUGUUGUUAAACCUAUGAGAUUUGAUUGAAUUGUGUGAAUGAUGAAAAUGUUGAUGUUAAACCCAUGAAAUUUGAUUGAAUUGUGGGAAUGAUGAAAAUGUUCCUUUUAAAUCCAUGGCAUUUGAUUGAAUUCUGUGAAUGAUGAAAAUAUUGUCGUUAAACCCAUGAAAUUUGAUUGAGUUGUGUGAACGAUAAAAAUGUUGUUCUUAAAACCCAGGAAAUUUGAUUGAAUUGUGUGAAUGAUGAAAAUGUUGUUGUUGUUAAACCCAUGAAAUUUGAUUGAAAUGUGUGAAUGAUGAAAAUGUUGUUGUUAAACUCAUAAAAUUUGAUUGAAUUGUGUGAAUGAUGAAAAUGUUGAUGUUAAACCAAUGAAAUUUGAUAGAAUUGUGUGAAUAAUGA